CAUUAACCAGACCUUUAGAACCCUAAUUGACUCAUCCUGGCCAUUAGAAAGUAGUGAGAUAACUGGCUUCGGUUCCGACUGGAGUUGGUUGAGACUCGAUACUACACUCUUUGAAGAUUGGACUUUUAGGGAAGCUUAGGUCAACCACUUGGUGUUGCACUGAAGUGGACUUAAGAAAGGUCAAUGAUUUGAGAUCCUUCUAGAACCCGGUUACUAUUCUAAGACAGGUUGAACCAACCAAACUUCAGUGGGGAGGGUAUUUACCUAUGGAAUCACGCAGCCUUAAAACCUAGGAAUGAUUGUUGUGUGACUUGCUUGUGCUUGUUAUUUAUCUAACAACAUGACAUCAUAACAACAUAACAUCAUAACAUCAUGGCAUUGUACUAACCAUUUCAAGGAUUUAGGGAUUUAACUCUGCUAAAAAAAAACAGAAAAAACAAAAACAAAAGCAAAACAAAAGAGAAAAGAAAAAAAAAGCUCUUUUUGUUAGUUUAUGCAAAGUUAAAUCCCGAAAGUCCUUGAAAACAUUUCAUACAUUGCAUUGCAUCGCAUAACAGGUAUUCUAAAGGAUCAGUGUUCUCACGAUUUUCCUAUCAAACAGAUUCCAGCAGAUUCAAACAGAUUGAACAAUGGCUCUCGAA
This 641-nucleotide long non-coding RNA is filed under the name Lathyrus oleraceus (garden pea). RNAcentral describes it as "Pisum sativum (pea) long non-coding RNA (PSAT_LNC034122)". Lineage: Eukaryota; Viridiplantae; Streptophyta; Magnoliopsida; Fabales; Fabaceae. The record is from RNAcentral.